Long non-coding RNA from Oreochromis aureus, 2140 nucleotides. The record is from Ensembl. NCBI's taxonomy places the organism in Eukaryota, Metazoa, Chordata, Actinopteri, Cichliformes, Cichlidae.
GGCGGACAUGCAAUAGUUCGCGCUGACUUAUAUUCCAACAUAGGAAGUGUUAUGAACAGCUGAUCGGAUCGGCAAAGCGUGUUUCUGGAAUAUUAUGUUUUUGUUGCUGCAAGUCUGGAAUAUUAUGUUUUUGUUGCUGGAAGUGCUUUUUAUGCAAUUUUUGCAAAGCUAUAUGUGGAAGGAAACCGUGACCUAGGGCAAGCUAAUGGAAUAAGAUAUCACUUUGGACGGACCAUUAUUCUGCACUGUCGAGCUCCAAACAACAACUUCACUCUUGUACAGUGGAGCAGAGCUGGUCUGGAGCCAGAACAUGUUGCUGUUUACAAGGGUGGACAGUUCCUUCCAGAUCACCAGCAUCCAUCUUUUAAGAACCGGGUGGAUCUGCAGGACAGACAGAUGAAGGAUGGAGACGUAUCUUUGAUUCUGAAUAAUGCGACGAGUGCUGAUAGUGGAAAAUAUGAGUGUCGUGUGUUCAACAGAGGAACAGUGCGCAGGAGGAGAACCCUGUCAAGGAUUCCUCCCAUCAACACCACCUACCUGAGUGUUGUUGAUCCUCCAGGUCAGACAGGAGGACACACAGAGGAUGGAGGGAAAGAGGAUGGAGGGAAGAAGGCAGGAGGGAAUGAGUUGUCUUGGGAGUUGUUAGCGAGGGUGGCAAGAGGGAUGGAGAUGUUUGCGAGGCUGGUUAGAGGGAUGGAGUUGUUGGUAAGGGUGGCUAUAAGGAUGGAGUUGUUAGCGGUGGAGACUACAUGGAUGGAGUGGUUGGCGAGGGUGGCUAGAGGUAUGGAGUUCUUGGUGGAAGUGGUUAGAGGGAUGGAGUGGUUGAUGGAGGUGCCUAUAGGGAUUGGGUGGUUGGCGUGGGUGGCUAGAGGGAUAGAGGUUUUGGCGGUUUUGGCUAGAGGGAUGGAGUGCUUGGCGAGGGUGGCUAUAAGGAUGGAGUUGUUAGAGGUGGAGACUAGAUGGAUGGAGUGGUUGGCGAGGGUGGCUAGAGGGAUGGAGUGCUUGGUGGAAGUGGCUAGAGGGAUGGAGUGGUUGGCGGGGGUGCCUAGAGGGAUGGGGUGGUUGUCGUGGGUGGCUAGAGGGAUAGAGGUUUUGGCGGGGUUGGCUACAGGGAUGGAUUGGUUGGCGAGGGUGGCUAUAAGGAUGGAGUUCUUGGCAGUGGAGACUAGAAGGAUGGAGUGGUUGGCGGGAGUGGCUAGAGGGAUGGAGUUGUUGACGGAAGUGGCUAGAGGGAUGGAGUUGUUGGCGGAAGUGGCUAGAGGGAUGCAGUUGUUCAAUUCAAUUCAAUUCAAUUCAAUUUUAUUUAUAUAGCGCCAAAUCACAACAAAAGUCGCCUCAAGGCGCUUUAUAUUGUACAGUAGAUAGCACAAUAAUAAAUACAGAGAAAAACCCAACAAUCAUAUGACCCCCUAUGAGCAAGCACUUUGGCGACAGUGGGAAGGAAAAACUCCCUUUUAACAGGAAGAAACCUCCGGGUUGGCAGGAGUGGCUAGAGGGAUGGAGUUGUUCAUGGAGUUGUUGUACAUAUAAUAGUAAAAAUUACAGGAGAUGCACACGCCUACAGUACAGCCAGGGCUAAUCUAAAGAAGGGCAUCAAAAAAGCCAAACACCAUUACAAAAAGAAGGUAGAAGAACACUUCUCCAACUCCAACCCCCGACGCAUGUGGCAAGGACUCCAGACCAUUACACACUACAGGACCACCAAACCCUCCCCCGCAUCCUCUGAUGUCUCCUUCCUCAACGAGCUCAACAACUUUUAUGCUCGUUUUAAGCGAGGGAACCCCACAACCACAACCAAAACAGACACGACGCCAGACCACCAACCUCUGACUCUCUCCCCCACCGAUGUAGGAGCGGUGCUGAGCAGGAUCAAUGUCCACAAGGCUGCAGGUCCUGAUGGCAUCCCCGGGCGUGUUCUCAGAGUGUGUUCUGGGGAGCUUGCAGGAGUCCUGACAGACAUAUUCAACCUGUCCUUGGCCCACGCUGUGGUACCGGCCUGCUUCAAAUCCACCUCCAUCGUCCCGAUACCCAAAAACUCCAACCCAUCUAGCCUCAAUGACUACCGCCCAGUAGCACUCACCCCCAUCAUCACUAAGUGCUUAGAGUAGCUGGUCCUAGCACACUUCAAAUCCUGUCUCCC